Long non-coding RNA from Cyprinus carpio (common carp), 1474 nucleotides. The record is from Ensembl. NCBI's taxonomy places the organism in Eukaryota, Metazoa, Chordata, Actinopteri, Cypriniformes, Cyprinidae.
GAGCACUCGCUGUCCUGAGGAAGGAACACACAUUUGACUAGACCUUAUCUUCUGUAAAGAUGUGCUGCACAUCAAUUCAUCUCCUCAUUGGUGCCUUACUUGUCUUUGCUAUUGAAAAUGUGGCCACAGCCAGGGAAAACAGCACAGAAAAUAACACAGCUCCAGUUUCAGUGCCUUCAUACACCACCACCCAAUUCAAAGAAACAGACUUUACCAUUCCAAACGUCACUGUUACCCUGCCAAACAAGACGGCUGUGAAUACCACAUCAGCAUCAGAACUGCCUACUCCACCUCCCCCAGAACGUCCGCAGACCAACAAUUUCACCACAGGCGAUUCUCUGAAGACCAUUGCACAAUCAAGCACAAUUAAUAUGAUCAAAAGCACAACUAUUAGCAAAGCAACUAUAACUACAGCAGUAAAAACUACAGUUUCGACAACAACGCAAUCGGGGACAAAAACUUUUAUAGUUAUCUUUAUUAUUGCCAUUCUGUGCCUUGCUGGGGUAUUAGUUUAUUGUUGCCUUAAAAAGAAAUCUAGGAAGUACUCUGUGGACUUACAUCCCAAACACGAAGAUGCUCAGAUCCCACUCAGCACAGUGGAUGCAGAGGUGUUUGACACCACAUCAGUCAAAGAAUCAGCUGAUGUUAAACAAGAAAACCAACAGAAUUUAUCCAGCACUCAGGCCACAGAGAACCCAAAGGAUAAAAUGGAGGGGCUGACCGUAGUGGAUCUGACUGAUGGAGAACCGACGAUCUCCACCAAAACCUCAAUGGAAUCCCUAGAUGAUGUUCUCAAUGAAAACAACAGCAACAAUACAAGAGUCAAGGGCAAUGGGCAUGAUUUCACUGAAAUCUCUAUUGAUGCUUUACUUCUAAAAUAAAUCAGGUUCUUCCCAGCAUUUUACAAUGAUCUCUGAACCUGACUGAUGGAUUGUACUGGAACUGGAAGUAACAGCUGAACUAAAUUCAUUGUUAGAACAACCUUGUUUGAAUAUACAUACAGCACUAAGAAAAGUCUGUAAAAACAGGGCCCAAUGUAUUGUGUUAAUGUAAAGGAAUUUUCUGUAUACAUUUUCACUAGUCUUUUACUCAUAUUUUUAAAUGCAUUGUGUUGUUUUAUGGUUAAAAGGAAAUAUACAUAAACUUAAUGGAGUGCAACUUAAUGGAGAAACUUCUGCAGAUUUUUGUUCCUACAUUGUAUUUCAAUUAGCAUACUAUUACCUGUUAUGUUAGAUUUUAAUAUUGUAACUUGUUAAUUAUAAUUUUGUAAAUGUUCAACCAGCUUUUUAUUGUUGUUGGCUGUAUAUGUAAAUGAACAAUGCGUACUUUUUCCAUGUUAUUGCACCCAGAUAUCACAAUUUAUUUUCCAAGCAAAAGGAUGCUUGGAAAAUAACUGAAUAAUGCAAAACAUGUCCCUUUUGACAGCUCCAGGCAUUUUAAUAAAAUUACAGAUUGAUUCUUUGUUUCUUGUAUU